UGGUUUUGGGUUCUUAUCCCAUUUAAGACCAAAUAUUAACAAGUCUUUCUUCUCACUUUUAAACAUUCUUCAUGCAUCUCUAGCACUUGUAAUCAAUCAAAUUCAUUGUAUUAUAACAUAUUCUAACCCAAAAUAACUUUAUACAAGCCAUUCACUGCCUCAAAGCAAUGGUUUUGGGUUCUUAUCCCAUUUGUGACCAAAUAUCAACAACUCUUUGUUCUCACUUUUAAACAUUCUUCAUGCAUCUCUANNNNNNNNNNNNNNNNNNNNNNNNNNNNNNNNNNNNNNNNNNNNNNNNNNNNNNNNNNNNNNNNNNNNNNNNNNNNNNNNNNNNNNNNNNNNNNNNNNNNUAAUCAAAUUCAUUGUAUUAUAACAUAUUCUAACUACAAAAUAACUUUAUACAAGCCAUUCACUGCCUCAAAGCAAUGGUUUUGGGUUCUUAUUCCCAUUUGGGACCAAAUAUCAACAAGCCUUUCUUCUCAGUUUUAAACAUUCUUCAUGCAUCUCUAGCACUUGUAAUCAAUCAAAUUCAUAGUAUUAUAACAUAUUCUAACCCAAAAUAACUUUAUACCAGCCAUUCACUGCAUCAAAGCUAUGGUUUUGGGUUCUUAUCCCAUUUAAGACCAAAUAUCAACAAGUCUUUCUUCUCACUUUUAAACAUUCUUCAUGCAUCUCUAGCACUUGUAAUCAAUCAAAUUCAUAGUAUUAUAACAUAUUCUAACCCAAAAUAACUUUAUACAAGCCAUUCACUGCCUCAAAGCAAUGGUUUUGGGUUCUUAUCCCAUUUGUGACCAAAUAUCAACAACUCUUUGUUCUCACUUUUAAACAUUCUUCAUGCAUCUCUAGCACUUGUAAUCAAUCAAAUUCAUAGUAUUAUAACAUAUUCUAACCCAAAAUAACUUUAUACAAGCCAUUCUCUGCCUCAAAGCUAUGGUUUUGGGUUCUUAUCCCAUUUGGGACCAAAUAUACACAAGUCUUUCUUCUCACUUUUAAACAUUCUUCAUGCAUUUCAGGCACUUGUAAUCAAUCAAAUUCAUAGUAUUAUAACAUAUUCUAACCCAAAAUAACUUUAUACAAGCCAUUCANNNNNNNNNNNNNNNNNNNNNNNNNNNNNNNNNNNNNNNNNNNNNNNNNNNNNNNNNNNNNNNNNNNNNNNNNNNNNNNNNNNNNNNNNNNNNNNNNNNNAUGGUUUUGGGUUCUUAUUGUAAGAUUGAAUAGAGCUCGAUGCCCUAGAUAUCUUAUUGACAAGAAUAUAUAUAGAGGUUACAUAGUGUAACGUACGAGAACGUGUACGAGAGUAUUCACACUUGAUACUAUAACUAAUAUAAGAAAUAAUAUAUUUACAUAUAUCUUGUCUAACACGCCCCUGCAGUCGCAUCGGGAGGCUUCUGGACGUUGAGACUGGUCCUGAAAUCAGAGAAAAGUUGUGUUGGAAGCCCUUUGGUGAAUAUGUCAGCAUAUUGGAGGCUUGUGGGAACAUGGAGUACACGAACUUGACCAAGUGCUACACGUUCCCGAACAAAGUGAAUAUCAAUCUCGACAUGCUUUGUUCGUUGAUGCUUGACAGGAUUUGAGGAUAAGUACACGGCACUGAUGUUAUCACAAUAAACGAUAGUAGCUUUGGACAGCGGGCAUUUCAUCUCAAGGAGUAAAUUUCGAAGCCAUGUUGCUUCAGCCACAGCAUUGGCUACACCGCGAUAUUCAGCUUCUGCACUCGAACGGGAGACUGUGACUUGUCGUUUAGAGGACCAAGAAACAAGGCUAUCACCAAGAAAAAUACCGUAACCAGAUGUAGAACGUCGUGUAGAAGGGCACCCGGCCCAAUCAGCAUCUGUGUAAGCGGUAAGUUGAUGGAUGGAGGAUUUGUGAAUUUGCAGUCCGUGAGAGAUGGUACCUUUGAUGUAGCGAAGAAUGCGUUUAAGAGCUGUGAAAUGAGGCUCCCUAGGAUCAUGCAUAAAGAGACAUAUCUGUUGGACCGCAAAAGAAAUGUCUGGGCGAGUAAAGGUGAGAUAUUGGAGAGCACCAGCGAGACUACGAUACAAUGUGGGAUCAGAGACCGGUUUACCGUCGAAAGAGAGCUUGGACUUCAAGUCAACCGGAGUGGAGCAAGGAUUGCAGUUCGUCAUGUUGGCACGGUGAAGAAUGUCGGCCGCGUAGUUUUGUUGUUGUAGAAGCACGCCCGCCGCAGUACGAGUGACAGAAAUCCCAAGGAAGUAAUAUAGCCGACCAAGAUCAGUCAUGUCAAACUCAUUGUGUAGUGAGGCAAGGAUGGACCGAAAAAGAGUCGUGGUGGAAGCGGUGAGAACUAUGUCAUCAACAUAGAGCAGAAUGUAGGCAAGCUGAUUAUUGUGACAGUAGAUAAAGAGAGACGGGUCACUCACACUUUGAGUGAAGCCAAUUUUCUUGGCAAAAAUCGCAAAUCGCUUAUACCAGGCCCGUGGGGCUUGUUUGAGCCCAUAAAGAGACCGCUUGAGGAGGCACACAUGAUAUGGUUUGGUUUUGUCAACAAAACCGGGUGGUUGGUGCAUGUAGACAGUUUCUUCAAGGUCACCAUUUAAGAAUGCGUUUUUAACGUCUAGUUGAUGAAGUGGCCAAUCUUUUGCAACGGCAACGUGGAGAACUGAACGAAUAGUUGCUGGUUUGACAACGGGACUAAAAGUCUCAUCACAAUCGACUCCAAGUUGUUGAGAUUUGCCGUUCGCAACGAGACGCGCCUUGUACCUCACGAGUUGCCCAUCCGCAUUAAAUUUAUGCCUGAAAAGCCACAAAGAUCGAACAAUAUUAGUAGCAACUGGUCGCGGAACCAAGUCCCACGUUCCACUUUUAAUAAGAGCGCUAUGUUCAUCUCCCAUGGCAGCAUUCCAGUUAGGAUCCUUAGCGGCCUGUACGUGUGUCAAAGGAAGGGGAGACACAACAGACGUAUGGAGACAAAGGCGUUGUCGUGGUUUGACAAUGCCAUUUUUACUCCGAGUUACCAUUGGAUGCGUGGGUAAUGCUGGAGGAGGCGGAGGAGGGGCCUCGUUAGCUGGAAGAGGAGGUGAGGGCGGAAGGAUGUUUUCAGUAGCUGGCGGAGGAGACGGAGUUGAAAUAGAGAUAGGAGGAGGAGAAAUGAGAGAAGAGUGAGAAGAAGAAACUGAGGUAGGAGUAGGUUUAAGAAACGGAAAGGUGUUUUCAUCGAAAUAAACAUGUCGUGAAAAAAUAAUUUUACGAGUGUUUAAGUCAAAACAACGAUACCCGCGAUGAUCAGUAGGGUAUCCGAGGAAAACACAUGACGUUGAUCGAGGAGCAAGUUUGUGCGGAGAUUGAGGAAGAAGGUUAGGAUAACACAAACAGCCAAAAACGCGAAGAUGAUUGUAUUGUGCAGGUUUGUGAAAAAGUUUGGUGAAUGGGGAGGCAUUGGAGAUGGAUGACGAUGGAAGAAUGUUGAGAAGAUGAGCAGCUGUAUGAAGGGCCUCCACCCAAAAUUCUGGUGGCAUAUGAGCUUGGAACAGAAUAGUGCGUACAAUGUUGUUGAGCGUACGUAGCAUUCGUUCUGCGCGACCAUUUUGCUGGGAGGUAUACGGACAUGAAAAACGGCAUUUUGUGCCUUCAGCUGCAAGAUAGGAUAGAAAUUGGCGAUUAUUGUAUUCACCACCGUUGUCACAUUGAAUAGAUUGAAUGGGGCAGCCAAAUUGAUUACGAACAAAGGCAGAGAAGUGAAUAUAUUUGCUUAGCGUUUCACUCUUGCGCCUGAGAGGGUAAACCCAAACAUAAUUAGAAAAUUGGUCAAGAAAAAUGACAUAGAAUUUUAUUCCUCCAAAACUCGGAACAGGAGAAGUCCAUAUAUCCGAGUGAAUAAUUUCAAAAGGUUUCGAAAGAAGAGAAGUAGAAGUAGAAAAUGGAAGGCGAACACUUUUGCCAAGUUGACACGCAUGACACAAGGUUGUCAUGUCAUUUUUAUUGAAAUCUAAAACCCCAGAAGAAGAAAGAGUUUGAAGAACAGAGCUCCCGGGAUGACCCAAGCGACGAUGCUAGAGAGUGCUAUUAGAAGAUGCGAUAAGAGCCUGCGGUGAUGUAGUAUUUUUAGGUGUAUUCACCGCAUAUAGAGGCCCUUGACUGUCACAUCGGAGAAGAGGCUUCUUGGUUUGAAGAUCCUUAACAAGAAAGCCAAAAGGGUCAAAUUCAAUAGAACAUUUGUUGUCCGUGACAAAACGACGCACAUACACCAAAUUUUUAAUGAUAGAUGGGCACACAAGAACAUUUUUAUGAAGGAGAGGACGAGUUGGGGAGGGAAUGAUACCAUUACCGAGCUUAGUAACGUUAGCAAAGGAUCCAUUACCAACUGUCACAGGAGGACAAGCGCUGGUAUUAAAAACAGAACGAAGGGUACCUGGAGUCGCAGUGAUAUGGUUCGUUGCGGCAGAGUCCAUGUACCACGAGCUAUUGUUCGGAUCUUGCAAUGCCAUUGGGUUGAAAGCAUGAGUAAUCUCGGACGGUAGAUACGGCGACACGGUUUGGAGCGAAGGAUAGGGAGACUGAAUCAUGUGAGCUUCAGCAGAAGAUCGUUGUUGUGGAGCAGGACCAAGGAUGCCAUUACUCGGAGGGAAAGCUGGCUGGCGGUGAUGAGCAUGAGGCAUCGGAAACGGCGACGAAAAUGGGGAGAAACCAUACGGCAGUGGCCAUUGUGAAGGUCCAUAUGGCCAUUGUGGUGGUCCGUAUGAUUGGUGUUGCCAAGACGUGUUGUUGUUGUGACGUCCCCUACCACGAUUGUGUUUGUUGCCUCUUCCACGAUUGUUGUAGCCUCGUCCUUGUUGAUUUUGAGUUUGGGAGUGUUGUUGAGCUGAGGCCGUGUAGAGAACUGUGGGAGUAGAGGAACUGUUGUUGUUGCUCGGUAGUGGCUUGCUUUGUUUGGCAAGACGAUCUUCCUCCAUGGUUAGCAUAGAACGUGCUGUUGCAAAAGUUGGAAACGGAGUCUUGUGUUUGAUGACGUUGAUGAUGUUGUCGUACUUGUCGGAGAGACCAUUGAGGAGAUGCAUAACAAGAACUCGAUCUGAGACAGGAGAGUCAAGAUUCGCAAGGAGAUCAGAGAGAGUUUUGAGUUUGAGACAGUAUUCAUGCACACUGAGAUCACCGAUCGAGGCUGUGCGUAGUUCAUGAUCACACUGCAAAGCACGAGCCUCCUUGUUGUCACGGAACAGGUUCUCGACGGUGAGCCAGAGGUCACGGGCGGUGCACUUGGCUGUCAUGACAGUGUCAAGGAGAGAUUCAGAAAGAGUUCCGUAGAUCCACAUCUUAACCAGCCCGUCACGCUCCUUCCAUGAUUGUUCAGUGUCAGGAGUAGACACGCCGGUUCCAUCGAUAUGGUUAAGGACGCCAAACGUUGUGCAGUGUGUUUCGAAUAACUCACGCCACACAUCGUAAUUGAACUUCUUCAGAUCAAGGACAAUAGGAAUGUAGGCCUUGAUUUGAGAGAUGGUGAACGGUUUGUCGGAAGUUCCAGUGGUGGGAGCAGCCAUCGAGUAAAAAAGAAGAAGAAGAAGAGAAAGAACAGAGGAUGAAGAAGCAGGAGAAGAAGAAGAAGAAGAAGAAGAAAAAAAAAUUUGAGAGAGAGAAGGUCAGAGGUCGAAGGAAAAGCCAACGGCGGCUGAUACCAUGUAAGAUUGAAUAGAGCUCGAUGCCCUAGAUAUCUUAUUGACAAGAAUAUAUAUAGAGGUUACAUAGUGUAACGUACGAGAACGUGUACGAGAGUAUUCACACUUGAUACUAUAACUAAUAUAAGAAAUAAUAUAUUUACAUAUAUCUUGUCUAACACUUAUCCCACUUGUGACCAAAUAUCAACAAGUCUUUCUUCUCACUUUUAAACAUUGUUCAUGCAUAUCUAGCACUUGUAAUCAAUCAAAUUCAUUGUAUUAUAACAUAUUCUACCCCAAAAUAACUUUAUACAAGCCAUUCACUGCCUCAAAGCUAUGGUUUUGGGUUCUUAUCCCAUUUUAGACCAAAUAUCAACAAGUCUUUCUUCUCACUUUUAAACAUUCUUCAUGCAUCUCUAGCACUUGUAAUCAAUCAAAUUCAUUGUAUUAUAACAUAUUCUAACACAAAAUAACUUUAUGCAAACCAUUCACUGCCACAAAGCAAUGGUUUUUGGUUAUUAUCCCAUUUGUGACCAAAUAUCAACAAGUCUUUCUUCUCACUUUUAAACAUUCUUCAUGCAUCUCUACCACUUGUAAUCAAUCAAAUUCAUUGUAUUAUAAUAUAUUCUAACCCAAAAUAACUUUAUACAAGCCAUUCACUGCCUCAAAGCAAUGGUUUUGGGUUCUUAUCCCAUUUGUGCCCAAAUAUCAACAAGUCUUUCUUCUCACUUUUAAAC
Molecule: long non-coding RNA, 6346 nt
Filed under: Capsella rubella
Lineage: Eukaryota; Viridiplantae; Streptophyta; Magnoliopsida; Brassicales; Brassicaceae
Description: long non-coding RNA (CRUB_LNC000281)
Source: RNAcentral